AGACCAGUGACGCAGUGGUUAGCGUUCCGUUCUUAUAUGGUUCCUUCGGGAGUCAUAUGACUCUGAUUCCUCAGUUAUGCGGGGGUCGUGGGUUCGAAUCCCACUUGGUCUA
Non-coding RNA from Ascosphaera atra, 112 nucleotides. Lineage: Eukaryota; Fungi; Ascomycota; Eurotiomycetes; Onygenales; Ascosphaeraceae. The record is from the annotation of a GenBank genome assembly.